This 87-nucleotide transfer RNA is filed under the name Cordylochernes scorpioides. Its description in RNAcentral is "tRNA-OTHER". Lineage: Eukaryota; Metazoa; Arthropoda; Arachnida; Pseudoscorpiones; Chernetidae. The record is from RNAcentral.
GUCUUUAUUGUCGCUGGUCGGUGGAAGGCUGGUUAAACCGUUUGGUUUUAGACCACUAGGACCCGGGUUCGAUUCCCGCAUUGGACA